Molecule: ribosomal RNA, 311 nt
Filed under: uncultured bacterium
Lineage: Bacteria
Description: bacterial SSU rRNA
Rfam family: Bacterial small subunit ribosomal RNA
Source: RNAcentral
GACGAACGCUGGCGGCGCGCCUAACACAUGCAAGUCGAACGGAGCUUUGAGAGCUUGCUUUUAAAGCUUAGUGGCGAACGGGUGAGUAACGCGUGAGUAACCUGCCCUGGAGUGGGGGACAACAGUUGGAAACGAUUGCUAAUACCGCAUAAGCCCACGGCCCGGCAUCGGGCUGAGGGGAAAGGAUUUAUUCGCUUCAGGAUGGACUCGCGUCCAAUUAGCUAGUUGGUGAGGUAACGGCCCACCAGGGCGACGAUCGGUAGCCGGACUGAGAGGUUGAUCGGCCACAUUGGGACUGAGACACGGCCCAG